GACGAACGCUGGCGGCGUGCCUAAUACAUGCAAGUCGAGCGGACGGAUGGGAGCUUGCUCCCAGACCGUCAGCGGCGGACGGGUGAGUAACACGUGGGCAACCUGCCUGUAAGACUGGGAUAACUCCGGGAAACCGGGGCUAAUACCGGAUAACUCUUUCCCUCACCUGAGGGGAAGCUGAAAGAUGGCAUCUCGCUAUCACUUACAGAUGGGCCCGCGGCGCAUUAGCUAGUUGGUGAGGUAACGGCUCACCAAGGCGACGAUGCGUAGCCGACCUGAGAGGGUGAUCGGCCACACUGGGACUGAGACACGGCCCAGACUCCUACGGGAGGCAGCAGUAGGGAAUCUUCCGCAAUGGACGAAAGUCUGACGGAGCAACGCCGCGUGAGUGAUGAAGGUUUUCGGAUCGUAAAACUCUGUUGUCAGGGAAGAACAAGUACCGGAGUAACUGCCGGUACCUUGACGGUACCUGACCAGAAAGCCACGGCUAACUACGUG
RNAcentral lists this ribosomal RNA (498 nucleotides) under uncultured bacterium. RNAcentral describes it as "partial 16S ribosomal RNA". It matches the Rfam family "Bacterial small subunit ribosomal RNA", at positions 28 to 507 of the family's 1533-position model. The record is from RNAcentral.